AACAAAGGAGGGAACACCCACCCCCAAACCUCGACAAGACCAAGCAACUGAACCUGCUAAAAGAUACACCAUCAUCAGGGAUGCAUAAAAACUCAGGUGGCAAAGCAUCCACCCAGCCAACAAACCAAGGCGGCAAAACAUCCGCCCGGGACGAUCAACAACCGGAGCAACGACGGCGGCAAAGCAUCCUCAAUCAGAUUUCUCUAGCCCUUUUGGUGCUUGUCUGUGCUGCACCAGAUUCCAUUGCUCUGUUUGAGAUUGCUUGAUCGACAAGAAUAUAAGGUUCCCAACAUCAUUCUUUACUUCAUUCCAGCUUUGCCUGGAGCCGAAUACAUCAAAAAACUAGAAUGGCUAGAACAAUGGACAUGGAACAAACAAGAGCCGAGAGAAAGGUAACGCUAGAUACAAAUCCUAUAUGGGCUUCAUCUCCGCAGGGUAUCCGCCACGCAGCUUUCUCCACGGGCGCGGCUUCGAGAUCCUUAAGCACCCACAAACAGGAACCGGAACUGAUUUCCUUUUUUCUGUAGCGCAGGAGCAAAUCUGGGCUACCAAACUCAACCGUUGCAUGCCCACUGGCAUCAAGAGGCUGCAAUUGAACAUCAAAGUGAGUAGUCAACCAAAAGUUUCUUCAGUGACAAUUGAUUGUGCUAAAUACGCCUGUGAGGAGUUGAACAUGAUAAAGAAGGAAAUGUAUUUUAAAUUUCAGAACACCAUGUGCAUUUCAGGCAUGUUUGCAGCAUCACAGAACAUGUAAACCACAACUAUAUGACAAUAGUUAUUUUUAGUUUGUUACUCGUACAAAUCAUCCAGUUCUGAUUUCCUGUCUCCCGGCUGACUACAAAGCUGAAGUUAUUUUUCCAGGACCUAGUCCAUCAGAAUU
This is a long non-coding RNA of Panicum virgatum (switchgrass), 880 nucleotides long. RefSeq lists it as uncharacterized. NCBI's taxonomy places the organism in Eukaryota, Viridiplantae, Streptophyta, Magnoliopsida, Poales, Poaceae. The record is from RefSeq and is a predicted model, not a curated record. The transcript is spliced from 2 exons.